RNAcentral lists this ribosomal RNA (119 nucleotides) under Propithecus coquereli (Coquerel's sifaka). The record is from RNAcentral. Lineage: Eukaryota; Metazoa; Chordata; Mammalia; Primates; Indriidae.
GUCUACAUCCAUACCACACUGAAUGCACCCAAUCAUGUCUGAUCUUGGAAGCUAAGCAGGGUUGGGCCCAGUUAUUAAGUGGAUAGGAGAUGGCCAGGGAAUACUGGGUGUUAUAGGCU